RNAcentral lists this ribosomal RNA (1475 nucleotides) under uncultured Verrucomicrobium sp. RNAcentral's name for it is "partial 16S ribosomal RNA". It matches the Rfam family "Bacterial small subunit ribosomal RNA". The record is from RNAcentral. Lineage: Bacteria; Pseudomonadati; Verrucomicrobiota; Verrucomicrobiia; Verrucomicrobiales; Verrucomicrobiaceae.
CUUCGCGUGCUUUUAACACAAAAUUAGGGUAUCUGCAAGUCGAGCGCGAGAGUAGCAAUAUUCUUGAGCGGCGAACGGGUGCGUAACACGUGUGCAACCUACCUUAAAGUUCAGAAUAGCCUGCCGAAAGGCGGAUUAAUGCGGAAUGUGGCGGCUCACAGCAUUGUGUGCUUGCUAAAGCCGGGGUCGCAAGACCUGGCGCUUUAAGAGGGGCUCGCGGCCUAUCAGCUUGUUGGCGGGGUAACGGCCCACCAAGGCUAAGACGGGUAGCUGUUCUGAGAGGAAGAUCAGCCACACUGGGACUGAGAUACGGCCCAGACACCUACGGGUGGCAGCAGUUUCGAAUCAUUUACAAUGGGGGAAACCCUGAUAGUGCGACGCCGCGUGGGGGAUGAAGGUCCUUGGAUUGUAAACCCCUGUCACCGGAGAACAAACGCGUAUGGCUAAUAUCCAUACGCCUGAGCUUAUCCGGAGAGGAAGCCGUGGCCAACUCUGUGCCAGCAGCCGCGGUAAUACAGAGACGGCGAGCGUUACUCGGAUUUACUGGGCGUAAAGGGUGCGUAGGUGGCCAAGUGUGUCGGGUGUGAAAUCUCGGAGCUCAACUCCGAAACUGCGCCCGAAACUACUUGGCUUGAGUUUCAGAGAGGGUAGUGGAAUUCCUGGUGUAGCGGUGAAAUGCGUAGAUAUCAGGAGGAAUACCAACGGCGAAGGCAGCUACCUGGAUGAAUACUGACACUGAGGCACGAAAGCGUGGGUAGCAAAAGGGAUUAGAUACCCCUGUAGUCCACGCCCUAAACGGUGCACGCUCGGUCUUAGCGGAUUUGACCCCGCUAGGGCCUGAGCUAACGCGUUAAGUGUGCCGCCUGAGGACUACGGCCGCAAGGCUAAAACUCAAAGGAAUUGACGGGGCCCCGCACAAGCGGUGGAGUAUGUGGCUUAAUUCGAGGCAACGCGAAGAACCUUACCAGGGUUUGACAUGCAGGAGACCGGGGGUGAAAGCUCCCUUCGGUAGCAAUACCGCUGCUGCACAGGUGCUGCAUGGCUGUCGUCAGCUCGUGUCGUGAGAUGUUGCGUUAAGUCGCGCAACGAGCGCAACCCCUGUCUUUAGUUACCAGCACGUAAUGGUGGGGACUCUAAAGAGACAAACCUCCUCUGGAGGUGGGAAGGUGGGGAUGACGUCAAGUCAGCAUGGCCCUUACACCCUGGGCUGCACACGUACUACAAUGCCCGGUACAGAGCGUUCCAAGACCGCGAGGUGGAGGCAAUCGCCAAAAGCCGGGCCCAGUUCAGAUUGGAGUCUGCAACUCGACUCCAUGAAGCCGGAAUCGCUAGUAAUGGCAUAUCAGCAACGGUGCCGUGAAUACGUUCCCGGGGCUUGUACACACCGCCCGUCACAUCAUGAAAGCCGGUUUUGCCCGAAGUAUGUGAGCAACGCAAGAGGCAGCUCUAGGCAGAAAUGUUUGUCUAAACUUCUU